CAGGCGUCGCAGCGAUCGUCCCUCGGCCGGAGGGGUUGCGAUUCCCUUUUUUCCACCCCCGGUUCCGUCGGGGCGGCUCGCUGGAGGGGCGGGUAUGGCCCGUGGUUGUCACGACGGAGUCGUAUCAGUGUGAGGCCGGCUAUCAGCCGCCUAACAUCGAGCUGAUGAACGGGUCGCAAUCAUCGUUCACGAUCCGGCCGCAGGAACUCUAGACACUGUGUCGAGCGCACCGGGUCCCAAGGCGAGCGGUACAUGCUAUAUCGGGAGUGCUAGUUGACUAGGGAAGGGGCUGUGGUGUCGUUCGUGGAUCAAGACGAGGACUCUAGGAAGCGCGGCGGGCCCCCUCGCGGCGGCCUUCCUCGGUCCCAUUCUUUCCGGAGAACGCGACCCGCUCCUCGAAGAGCGUCGGGACGCAUCGGCAGUGAGUGCGCCGGCAUCGGGCAGCGAUUAAGCAGCCGCGGCGAGUUGGCUUCGACGGCUGGUCGGGAUUCGCCGUAGAGAAAGAGCGCGGCGGGACACACGGUACAUAGAAAGCGAAAGAGAGAGAAAGAGAGAGACAGAUAGAAAGAGGUAAAUAGAUAAAGAGAGACAUACAAAAAGAGAGAGACGUAUAAAGAGCGAGUCGGAGAGGGAGAGAGAGAGAGAGGGAAGCGCGCGCGCGGCCGAAGAACAACUCGCCCACGUCCGUCGGAGCGCGACGGGCCACAGGGUGGCGAAUCGGCGCGUGCGGGGGCAGAGGGUCGACGCAGGAUAAGCGGAAAAUCAGAUGUCCUUAGUCCGGCGGUUCGCAGCACGCCGGAUAUGUCGUUAGCGUGGGAGGAAGCAGGAGCCUCGAGCAGCGAGACCGCUCGAACGGAUUGACUCGGCUCGGUGUCGUUCGAACAUCGCCGUCGUCGUCGUCGCCGUCGUCGUCGUCGUUGUCCGCGCGGAUCCUCGGGGAGCCAGGGCGGGAGAGGCGGGAGCACAGGAAAGAGGCGUCGAUGGGUCUGCGAGGGAGACUCGGCCCCGUCGAAGCGUGCCGCGAACGAGUGACGGGGUUAGGCCUCCACCGACGAUCAGACCAAUGAUUUCCGAUCGACCCGGUGGUGGCAUGGCAGCAGCGGUAUCGUGACUAUCGCGCCACCGAGGAGCCGUUAUCGCGCGCAGAGCCUGCCAUGCCGUCGGGCUGCCGUCGGAGACGCUCGUCGACGUCCAGUGACGACGACACCUAGCCAGCGAGACGGAAAGCGCGCGCGAGAUCGGAGAGCAACGGAGAGACUGAGAGAGACGGAGAGACGGAGGAA
Megalopta genalis is the source of this 1283-nucleotide non-coding RNA. NCBI's taxonomy places the organism in Eukaryota, Metazoa, Arthropoda, Insecta, Hymenoptera, Halictidae. The record is from RefSeq and is a predicted model, not a curated record.